AUUGAACGCUAGCGGGAUGCUUUACACAUGCAAGUCGAACGGAGUGGCGGACGGGUGAGUAAUAUAUCGGAACGUGCCCAGUAGCGGGGGAUAACCACUCGAAAGUUUGGAUAAUACCGCAUACUUUUGGAGCGGCCGAUAUCGGUUUAGUUAGUUGGUGGGGUAAAGGCUCACCAAGGCGACGACCCAUAGCUGGUUUGGGAGGACAACCAGCCACACUGGGACUGAGACACGGCCCAGACUCCUACGGGAGGCAGCAGUGGGGAAUAUUGGAAGAUGGGGGAAACCCUGAUCCAGCCAUCCCGCGUGUAUGAUGAAGGCCUUCGGGUUGUAAAGUACUUUUGGCAGAGAGGCGGUGUCUGCAGAAUAAGCACCGGCUAACUACGUGCCAGCAGCCGCGGUAAUUC
RNAcentral lists this ribosomal RNA (407 nucleotides) under uncultured bacterium. RNAcentral describes it as "partial 16S ribosomal RNA". It matches the Rfam family "Bacterial small subunit ribosomal RNA", at positions 30 to 526 of the family's 1533-position model. The record is from RNAcentral.